UGUAGGUAUAGGGGUGUGGAAGAACUGUUAUUCCAACUACUGACACCAAAAAGCAUGGGGCCGUGGUCCGUCCAGUGAAGACAGGAGCUCUUCUGCAGCAAAGAGAGCGUACUGCGUUAUCUAAUUUAAAAUAGUGUUAACAAGCCUCCGGUUGAUAAAUAGGCGCGCAUGCAGCUUUCAUGAAGGAGGAUGGAGAUAGAGAAGAGGACGAAUGGGUUCGAUUACCCAGAGAGAAACAACACUAAGUCCGACGGCUUCUAUGGUGAUCAUCCCUUGGAAGCCGAACAGAAGAAUGGAUUAGUUUUUCUCCAUUGGUUUGGCUCAUUUCUUGAAACAGAAAUUACAUUCUCAAAAGAUCAUUGGGCAAAACAUUCUUACA
This is a long non-coding RNA of Esox lucius (northern pike), 379 nucleotides long. NCBI's taxonomy places the organism in Eukaryota, Metazoa, Chordata, Actinopteri, Esociformes, Esocidae. The record is from Ensembl.